UACGUAGGGGGCAAGCGUUGUCCGGAUUUAUUGGGCGUAAAGAGCGUGUAGGCGGCCAUACAGGUCCGUUGUGAAAACUCGAGGCUUAACCUCGAGACGUCGAUGGAAACCGUAUGGCUAGAGUCCGGAAGAGGAGAGUGGAAUUCCUGGUGUAGCGGUGAAAUGCGCAGAUAUCAGGAAGAACACCCGUGGCGAAGGCGGCUCUCUGGGACGGUACUGACGCUGAGUGAGCGAAAGCCAGGGGAGCAAACGGG
This 254-nucleotide ribosomal RNA is filed under the name uncultured bacterium. RNAcentral describes it as "partial 16S ribosomal RNA". It matches the Rfam family "Bacterial small subunit ribosomal RNA", at positions 524 to 776 of the family's 1533-position model. The record is from RNAcentral.